AUUGAACGCUGGCGGCAUGCCUUACACAUGCGAGUCGAACGGCAGCACGGGUGCUUGCCCCUGGUGGCGAGUGGCGCACGGGUGAGUAAUACAUCGGGACAUGUCCUGUAGUGGGGGAUAGCCCGGCGAAAGCCGGAUUAAUACCGCAUACGAACUACGGAUGAAAGCGGGGGCCCUUCGGGCCUCGCGCUAUGGGGUUGGCCGAUGGCUGAUUAGCUAGUUGGUGGGGUAAAGGCCUACCAAGGCGACGAUCAGUAGCUGGUCUGAGAGGGCGACCAGCCACACUGGGACUGAGACACGGCCCAGACUCCUACGGGAGGCAGCAGUGGGGAAUUUUGGACAAUGGGCGAAAGCCUGACCCAGCAAUGCCGCGUGUGUGAAGAAGGCCUUCGGGUUGUAAAGCACUGUUGUCCGGAAAGAAAUCCUUGGCCCUAAUACGGGCGGGGGAUGACGGUACCGGAAGAAUAAGCACCGGCUAACUACGUG
This 486-nucleotide ribosomal RNA is filed under the name uncultured bacterium. RNAcentral's name for it is "partial 16S ribosomal RNA". It matches the Rfam family "Bacterial small subunit ribosomal RNA", at positions 28 to 507 of the family's 1533-position model. The record is from RNAcentral.